RNAcentral lists this ribosomal RNA (253 nucleotides) under uncultured bacterium. RNAcentral describes it as "partial 16S ribosomal RNA". It matches the Rfam family "Bacterial small subunit ribosomal RNA", at positions 524 to 776 of the family's 1533-position model. The record is from RNAcentral.
UACGAAGGGGGCUAGCGUUGCUCGGAAUCACUGGGCGUAAAGGGUGCGUAGGCGGGUCUUUAAGUCAGGGGUGAAAUCCUGGAGCUCAACUCCAGAACUGCCUUUGAUACUGAGGAUCUUGAGUUCGGGAGAGGUGAGUGGAACUGCGAGUGUAGAGGUGAAAUUCGUAGAUAUUCGCAAGAACACCGGUGGCGAAGGCGGUCUGCUGGGCAGUUGCUGACACUGAGGCGCGACAGCGUGGGGAGCAAACAGG